Molecule: long non-coding RNA, 320 nt
Filed under: Jatropha curcas
Lineage: Eukaryota; Viridiplantae; Streptophyta; Magnoliopsida; Malpighiales; Euphorbiaceae
Description: long non-coding RNA (JCUR_LNC003435)
Source: RNAcentral
UUUUUUUUUUAAUUAAUUUUUGCUGAUAUAGUUCCAGUGCAAUAAUUGUUGAUGGGGCUGUAAUCCAAAAUGAAGAUGAUGUUAUUAUCAAUUGUGGAAGUGAAAUUAUUAGUGGCCCAGAUAAAGAAGGUUAGUCUUCACUGCUCUCUUUUUUCUUUUUUUUUUUUUUUUUUUUUUUCUAAUUAUGAAUUUCCUUGAGUAAGAGCAGUAAUUGGUGCAAUAUGCUGGUCAUAUUAGAACUUGUAUGGAUGUUAGCUGCUAUUCAGUAAUUUUAACAUUGCCAAUUAAGAUUCUUGUAUCUUUUUGAUACUGUGUUACUC